Long non-coding RNA from Canis lupus familiaris (dog), 1977 nucleotides. RefSeq lists it as uncharacterized. Lineage: Eukaryota; Metazoa; Chordata; Mammalia; Carnivora; Canidae. The record is from RefSeq and is a predicted model, not a curated record. The transcript is spliced from 4 exons.
CACACUGGACUCCCCAUGGGGAGCCUGCUUCUCCCUCCGCCUAUGUCUCUGGCCCCCUCUCUCUGUGUGUCUCUCAUGAAUAAUAAAAUAUUUUUUUAAAAACUUUUUUUAAUUCAUAAGUGAUACAUGUUUGUUGGGAAAAUAAAGGUUCCACUAUUCACUAUUCUCGGGAGGCCCCGAGGUCAGGAAGAGCUGCUGCCCUGGGGAUUGUGAGGAGUGACCGAUUACAUACUUGGGAGUUGGGGGAGAAGGAAGACGGAGGUUUUCAAAAGAACUUUCUUAUGCUGAAGAGGACCUUUGAGAUACUACAGGCCUUGUCAUUGUCAAGUUAAGGGUGUUUUCCCCUUUAGCAAGGUAUUUACUUUAACAGAGUUGGAAGGCACCUGGGUGGCUCAGUGGUUGAACGGCUGCCUUUGCUUCAGGGCGUGAUCCCAGGGUCCUGAGGUCGAGUCCCACGUCUGGCUCCGCACAGGGAUCCUGCUUCUCCCUCUGCCUAUCUCUGCCUCUCUCCGUGUGUCUCUCAUGAAUAAAUAAAUAAAAUAUUUAAAAGAACUCAUGGACGUAUAAUUGCAGAAUAUCAUUUAUCUUUACUUAAUAUAUUCCAUAGUGUUGGCCAAGAGUUACCAUGGAGGGAGGAGCAUUACAUUCUGUCCACUUCAAGUAUCUACCAAUGGGCUGCAGGUUAUAAUUGUAUCUACAUUUCCUUUUGGAAGCUAAGUUACUGAUAAAAAUUGCUUUUUUUCUUUUAGAUUACCAAGACAUUUGUAAAUUGAGGGAGACUUAUGUCUUGCAGGACUGUGAUUUCUAUAAGUUAACUAUUUGUUUUUCCUUUCCUUACCUUCAGGGCAGCCAGGAGUUAAUGAGGAAUGUCACACAUAUCCCACCUUGGGGGGGCGGGAGUUGUGGGGUGUCAACUUCUCCUUUUUCCUCAGCUAGCCUUCUGUUUCCUCAUCAAUAAUAAGCUAGAAAUCUAUCGUAGCAAUCCAGGAGCGCUAGGCUACGGGCCCAAAUGAAGGCAGAGACCACAGGCAAGGGGCAAAAAAAGACUUGUGAGAUAUUUGAGGGGGAGUAUCAAUAGGACUUUGGGAAGUAGCCCUUUCCAGGGGUGAGCGAGGAGGAGGAGAAGCUGCUGAAAGCUCUAAAGUGUCAGAUUUGGCUGAGUGAAUGAUGCCUUUUCACAUGAGAAGUAUCAGAACUGGAGGGAAGACCAUGAGUUCAGGGAUUUGAGGAUGACAAAGUAGAAGGAGAAGACUAAUCAGUGCCACCGAGGGCUAGCUGAGGACAAAGCACAAGCUGAUAGCCCACAAAUGACCCCCCCCCCCCCCAGGAUAGGAUAUGGGUGACAUUCCUCAGGAAGUUUCCAACUGUCUUAAUAUCUUGCUAGAGGGACAAGCAAUCUUUGACUUGACAAUGGCAAGGCCUCCACUAUCUCAUUGGGGAGGAGGACGUCUUGAAGUGGGCGAGCUAGACUCUUGUCUCAUGGAGUCGAAGAAUGAAUCUCACAGACAAAGCUUCUUUGCAGGAAAGAGAGUGCAACUUAGAUGGAGAAACUGAAGAGGCAUUAAUGAAAGGACACCCUCCAGAGCUGUGAGCAGAUAUGAGGAAGCCAACAAGGGAUACUGAUGUCAGCCAAGGACGUGUGGCUGGAUUUGGAGAGGGGACCAUUCAUUCUGUCCAGCCCUGGCCCUGGAGCCCAGCAGAGCUCUCGUGUUUCAAUGGCUGUAAACCCUGGAAGAUUCAGAGGAUCUGGGGCAUGGACACUGGAAGGCUUGUGCCACUUUGUGGGGAGACGACUUUGCCACAACCAGGAGCAUGAGCAAGAGAGGAAGGACAGGGCGGAUCCAUGUGGUGGUGCAGCUGGUGGUCCUGUGUGUAGAUUUGCAAGAGGAAGGCUUCCUGGCCCUCAGGUCUGUGGGCUGGAGCAAUAAUAAUAAGUUGCUUAAUAAAAAUAUGACAUGACAUUUUUCUAUAACCAAA